RNAcentral lists this ribosomal RNA (253 nucleotides) under Fusicatenibacter saccharivorans. RNAcentral describes it as "partial 16S ribosomal RNA". It matches the Rfam family "Bacterial small subunit ribosomal RNA", at positions 524 to 776 of the family's 1533-position model. Lineage: Bacteria; Bacillati; Bacillota; Clostridia; Lachnospirales; Lachnospiraceae. The record is from RNAcentral.
UACGUAGGGGGCAAGUGUUAUCCGGAUUUACUGGGUGUAAAGGGAGCGUAGACGGCAAGGCAAGUCUGAUGUGAAAACCCAGGGCUUAACCCUGGGACUGCAUUGGAAACUGUCUGGCUCGAGUGCCGGAGAGGUAAGCGGAAUUCCUAGUGUAGCGGUGAAAUGCGUAGAUAUUAGGAAGAACACCAGUGGCGAAGGCGGCUUACUGGACGGUAACUGACGUUGAGGCUCGAAAGCGUGGGGAGCAAACAGG